GCUCGGCCUGUAAUUGACUUUAUACUCAGUACAUGGCCGACUACACCAUUGGAUAGUAGGGCACCACCCUCCCAUGGCUUUAUCUUGCCGACUCUGAUAACAUGGGCCUCUGCCGACUAACUGAGCACCGAACAUGGCCGUCAUGCCAUUUUGACAGACCACAUCAAGGUCAUAUCACUCAGACGUCAUACUUUGGCCGACUAGCUGUAUGCCGUGAUGGGAUGCUAUGAAUUCAUUAAAUGCGCCCACA
RNAcentral lists this long non-coding RNA (250 nucleotides) under Elaeis guineensis (African oil palm). RNAcentral describes it as "long non-coding RNA (EGUI_LNC032892)". The record is from RNAcentral. Lineage: Eukaryota; Viridiplantae; Streptophyta; Magnoliopsida; Arecales; Arecaceae.